AUUUAUAUAGAAGGAUGGGCAUGGUCAGUGAGUGAGAAGUAUAUAAUGGCAUGUGACUCAAUGACAUUAUAUGUGAGACCAACGUACUAUGAUUUUCUUAUACGAGGAAUGGUACCAUUACAACAUUAUUGGCCAAUCAGAGACCUUGGUAAGUGUAGAUCCCUCAAACACGCUGUACAUUGGGGGAAUACUCAUGUGGACCAGGUUUGUAAUUUUAUUAGAACCCGGAAGUUUUGUUUUGUGUCAAGUUAACCCAUUGAUUUUGGUGUUUAAUUAAUUGACAGGCACGUAAGAUAGGGGAAGAAGGGAGUAGAUAUAUAAGAGAGGAGGUGAGCAUGGAAUAUGUGUAUGAUUACAUGUUCCAUUUGAUGAACGAGUAUGCCAAACUUUUGAAGUUUAAGCCGGAGAUUCCUUUGGGAGCAAAGGAGAUUACUACGGAUAGUAUGGGAUGUCCGGCGAAGGGACGGUGGAGAGAUUUUAUGGCGGAGUCUAUGGUGAUGUCUCCUAGUGAAGUGUCUCCUUGUGAGAUGCCUCUUCCUUAUAGCCCUAUGGAGCUAAGAGAGGUUCUUGAGAGGAAAGCUAAUUUGACUCGCCAAGUUGAGGUUUGGGAAGAUCAAUACUAUCGUAAUUUGACAAAUGCCAACAAGCAUUGACCAACGAGGCUCUUGUUUUACAAGAUACUGAUUUUUUUUUUUUUUUAAACUAAACAAGAUACUGAUUUGUUGUGUUCAUAUUAAAAUUACUAAGUACUUCGUGAGUUAUAAUUUGAUUAAUCAAAAUUUAAUAUAGAUAGUGAUUUAAUAUAAGGUAUAAGAUUUAUAUAGAAGGAAGGGCUUGGUCAGUGAGCGAGAAGUAUAUAUUAGCUUGUGACAGUAUGUCACUUCUCAUAAAAACUUUUUACUUUUGACUUCAUCACUCGAAGUUUAGUUCCCAUGGAACAUUAUUGGCCUAUUAGACUUCAUAAAAAUUGCAAUGACAUCAUCUUUGCCGUCCAAUGGGCCAACAACAAUACCAAAAAAGUAGUAACAAUAUAACAUAAAUCAGUCAAGUCAUUUUUUGAAACUGAUUAUGGUGUUAUAUGAUCUUCACUUAUUUUAGAGGCAAAAACUAUAGGGAGAAAUGGAAGUGGAUAUGUACUUAAGUAUCUACAAAUGAAGUAUGUGUAUGAUUAUAUGUUUCAUAUAUUGCAAAGCUAUGGGAAGUUGAUGAAGAUGAAUGUAGAAGUCCCUGAAGGAGCUAAGGAAGUGUGUCCAGAGACAAUGGCGUGUCCGGUUAAGGGAGGUCGAAUGAGACAAUAUAUGGAUGACUCAUUGAUUCUGUCUCCGAGCAACAAGGGCUCUUGUGAGACGCCUCCACCUUUUGAAGACGAUGAACUCAAGAAGUUUUUAGAAAAGAAAAAAAGUGUUGAGAAAGAAGUGGAGAAGUGGACUAAUGAGUACUGGGAGGAACAAAAUAAGUCUCUUCAACACUGAGUUUUGUAUAUACACAUACACUUUCCCCUAAUCAGUACUACUUAAUUGAGUAUGUAUUAUACAAAUAAAAAUAACAAGUUAAUUGUCAAAACAUUACAAUAACGACCCCUUGAUGUGAUAAAAUUAAAAUGUAACCUCUCAAAGCCUUUGAGAAAAUUUCACUUCAGGAAUCCAACUUUAAUGUACCACUAGUGGUAUUUCGGCGCGCCAGAUUAGUAUGUCUUUCUUUAAUGAAUUUAAAAUUAAUUUUAUGGUUUUAAUAAAUAAAAUAUUUUUAAAUAUUUGAAAGAGAAUGAUAAUUUUUCUGAUUCAUUUGAUAGUUGUUAGCGAUCCUAUUAUAUCAUUUUGUUUUGAAAUUGGUUAGGUCAAAGAAGAAUAUUUUUUAAUGAUCGAUUCAAUAAAAAUAGAAUAAAUAGUUGAUAGUAGCAAUAAAGUUAAUAUGCUUGAACUUUAACAGUAAAGCAAAGUUGAUGUUAGAAAAGAAAAAACGUAGGGCUGGAAAAAUCAGAGGAUAGCUUUAAGGCCUAUUUAGCUAGAAAUACAAAUUGGAGGAGGUAAUUACAGAAGUGUGCAUUUUUUUUUUAAAUAAUUGGGGAACCAUGUCAAUUUUGUCCUGAGUUGCCAAUUCUCUCCUCUAACCACAACUUCUUUGUUACGUAUGUGUUACCUGUUACCGGGGCUGAUGCCAAAAAAAAUUAUAUUGUAUUGAAACUAUUUCCAAACGCAAUCAACGUUUUGAAACCGGAUAUUAGUGCUAAAACUACACUAAAAUAGUGUAAUUUUGACACUAAAAUAGUGACAUGGGUUGGAGAUGCCCUAAAGGCGUUACGGUAAUGACGACACCGCUUUAUUACUACUACUAGUGUGUUUUUUUUCCUUCACAAAAUUAGUAAUUAACUUUUAAUAAAACUAUUUUAUUUCUUAAAAACGAGAAAGAAAGAAAUAAAUAAAAUUGUCGUUUUGUCUCCUUUAUGAAAUUCCGUGGUGGGUGACGAUUCUGGCGAAGACUUUGAGGAGCUUGGUGAGCUACAAAUAGUAGUGGCGCGGUAAGGUCGGUGUUUUCUUAAUGUGGUAUUGGUGUGGGUGCGACUAGUUGUGAUUUUGAUAUAUGUACGAAAUCAAAAUAAAGGAUCUUAAAAUAAACAAUAAUUUGGACCUCUUAUACUGUGGAUUGUGUGGAACAAUACUGUGUCGAUAUUAUAGCAUAGUGGAAUCGGUCAAGAAUGACAAAUGAAUAUCAAUGGAAAGGCUCUCUAAGUUUUGGCAUAGAAUGGUAGUAUGUUGUAUAAGUAUAAAAUAAUCGUAGUAAUAUCAAAUGCUGCAUUUUCUCUUGAAUUUAUAGUUUCAACAAUAUAAUCUAAAAAAUACCACAUAUAUACCAGAGGUUUGGUUUAUGAAUGUCAAUUUUUCUUAUACGUGUUGUGGUAUAUAAUUUUGUUUUCUACCAGCGGGUAUAACUCCUGAAUAUACUGUAUAGGUUUAUGUGAAAAAUAUUUGAAAAGUUAUAAAGAUACAGAUGUGAUGUUCAGAACAAGCUACAUUGAGAGUUGGAGAAGCAGCUGCCCACCAUGAAUUUUUUUUUUAUUAGUGUAUUUUCUGCUGAUUUUUUAUGCCUCAGUUGAUAAGUUAAUUUUAUAAAAGUAUUAAAAAGUGUUUCACAGUGACAACAAUUAUUUAUAGAACUGCCAUUGAUGAUGUUUACUGUAAAUAUUGACUCCACACAUUCAUCAUAAUAGAAACGGCAAAAAUCAAUUUAUUUUUGGGAAAAUUGGAUAUUGAAACCGGAUGUAGCUCUAAUAAUUGAAGAGAGAAGAGUAAGAUAUUUUACAAAUUGUUUUUUAGAAAUGUGAUUGAUAGGAAGAUAUUUUACAACAUGUUGUUCCACGCGCUGAAAGUGAUAUGAGGAGUGCUCGACGCCAUAGGACCAUGGUAUCCUGUUCAUCUUGAUAUAUCAAUCAAAAUAUUAACCAUGUUGGGAGAUGGUGUCGGUUCCCUUUCAAAUAACAGAGCUUGAAUGUUAGAAGUAUCUUAUUAAAGAAGGCAAGAGCUAGAGAUACGCAUAUAUGUGUCAAUAGGCUGCAAUUAUAGUAUGAUUACAUUUAUCUAAUCCGGGUUUUACUAUUAGUAACUGGAUAUAUGACAGUAGGGUGCAUAUCUACAUAAGUGAAUUCCUGAUUCUUUGCAUUAUCAGAAGUUUCAAGAUUGUUUGCAUUAUUAAUACUUUCGAUAUGUGCAAUAGUCCCGUCAUUCUUUUGCUUCAUACGUGUCAGUAGUCGUUCUAUUUGAUUUUGUUAUGUCUAUAGGGAUACUUUAGGUAUUACUGCAAAAUGCACACGUAACUUUUGAUAAAAUACCAAUAUGAACUUAGUGGUAUUUUUUCCAAUUCUAAAAAUAAAUGCACACUCUCUUUACCUGUUACCUAAUUUACGUCUACAAUUUUGCUAUCUAGUGCAAAAUCCCUAGCUUUAGCUUCUUUCUUUAAACUGAUUUCUGACAAAAUGAAGAACAGUUUACAUAUGUCAAUAGUCACCAUAAAGCGAUGGAGUAGCGAAAGAUAAAGAAGAAACAUGUGAUAGAGUUGGGUGAAUUUUAGUAUUUGACUAAGAAAACUUUUGAAUAAAAACAUUAUUAGAGACAUACUCAUAAUCACAGAUCAUAAAAUAUAUUAAGAUAUACCACAAUCAAGCAUAAAACUCUAACAUACAAUUAAAAUUUUUAAUAAAUACUACACAUAUAAUCUCAUGCAAGAUGAAGAAAAAUAAAAAUAUAAACUCAUGCAAAUACAACACAAGAUAACAUAUUUUCACUAAAAUAACUGAAACAAAUACUGAAAAUAAAAUGCUCAAAACUCAUAAAAUAUAGUUGAUAACAAAUAAAAAUCCAAACACUUCAAAUUUGUAAACAAAGAUCAAAUGUUAACAAAAUAAAUAUAUAUGAUCUAAUUAGAAAACAAGUUAUAAAUGUUAUACUAAAUUUAAGUAAAUUUCAAAUGUUUUAUAAAAUUUAAAUAUAUUUUAAUACAAAAUAAUUUUAAUGCAAAAUCACCCGCCCGUAGGGCGGGCCAAACCCUAGUACAGUAUAUAAUAAGAUUAAUAACGUCUUUUACCUAUUUGAGGGUACUCCAACACAGAUUUGAACAGCCUAGGGAUGUAUAUGUCUGUAAAAUUCGUAUAGAGCAUACAACAUGGAGUUUUCUAACCAUUAUUAUUCUGUAUCAUGAGUGGUCGAAUAUGGACUGGCAUGUCAGUGUCUGUAUUGAAUGGCUAACGUUUUAUCUCCUUCUUGGCUAUUAUAGAAAGCAUUUAUAAUAAACUUUCUCAAAGAGGGUUUUAACUAAAUGAAUCCGUAAAUGUUGCAUUUAGUAACACACAUUUAAGAUUUUCAUAGAAACUCAAAGAUUACAAGAGAGGAUUAUUUGGGAAAUAAAUUGAUAUCAUAUGUCAUCGUCUUCAUGUGAUAGGUGUCACAUAACCAAUUUCUCAUACUAGUAUUAUGUCUUUAAUAUUCAGAAAACAUAAACCAUUCGAAAACCUUAAAAAGUAUGAACUUCGUGAACACAAAAGAUGUGAACUGGUGUUGAACAAAACGUUGAAACAAGAUUCAAAUCCUCGUGGAAAAGCACAAAUCAAAAGUCAAAACCAAAGCUUUGGUGGUGUCGUAUCGCUUGUGCAGCCAGGUUCUCAUUUUUCUUCUCUUGCGUAGAAUGUCUGUGCGCAUAUAAGCUGAGCAGAGGAAGGUGUAGAAUAAGAGUCAUGGCUCAACGGAAAAGCACUAAGGGGAACAACAGGGAUACUCAAACGAACACGCAUAGUAAUCACGCCUCUAUCAAAACGUCAUCGCAUCAAGGAAAACGCAUAGCAAAAGCUACUCUGCUCCUCGUCUUGUCUAUCUUCGUAUCUGCUGGUCUCUUGAGUUUCUUGUGUUGUUUCGAUUACGUGAGUUUCGAAUCGAAAACACCUUAAUAUAUAUUAUAAUGAUCAUGAGAGUGUUAUAUUUGUAUAGUAUAAUCAAGAACUCUUUUGUGUCCCUUUUAGACAACACUCACAGGUCCGAGGCAAGUAACAACAACAAUCACUAAACCACCAAUCAUAACGCUCCACAGAUUCCCUCGGCAAUGCGGUGUCGUACAGAACCAAACACAACCAGUGUCCGAAGAUGGCACAAACAAAAACAAACCAAGAAGCAACCACUCACGCCCACCCACGUGUCCCUCUUACUUCCGUUGGAUCUACGAGGAUCUACGGCCGUGGAGAGAGACAGGAGUAACGAGAGAGAUACUUGAGAAAGCAAGGAGCAAGGCCCAUUUCAGGGUUAUAAUCCUAGACGGGAGAGUGUACGUUAAGAAGUAUAGAAGACCGAUCGAGACUCGAGAUACUUUUACUCUGUGGGGCAUCGUACAGUUACUACAGUGGUACCCAGGGAGAUUACCAGAUCUGGAGCUCUUGUUCGACGCAGAUGAUAGACCAACCGUACGAUCAAUAGACUAUAGAGGUCAACAACACCCGGGCCCACCUCCAGUGUUCCGUUAUUGCUCUAAUGACGCCAGCUUGGACAUCGUGUUCCCUGAUUGGUCCUUCUGGGGCUGGUAACGACGGUAACAAUUACAACUCAAUUUAAUUGGGCUUAUUUAACUAACUGGGCUUUAACCGUCAUUGGGCCAGGGCUGAGCUUAAUAUAAAGCCUUGGGCUAAAUCGCUGGUGGCGAUAGAAGAAGGGAACAAGAUGACGCAAUGGGAAGACCGCGUGCCGUACGCUUACUGGAGAGGAAACCCUAACGUGGCCCGCACGAGGAAAGACCUUCUUAGAUGCAAUGUCUCAGACCAAGAAGAUUGGAACACUCGUCUCUACAUCAAUGUCUGGUCUAUUCAAAAUCUCCUUUUUUCCAUAUAAAACAUUUUCAAUUCUACUGUUAAUAAUACAUUUUUAAUCAUUUUGAAGGAUUGGGCUACAGAAUUCAAAGAAGGAUUCAAGAACUCAAACCUAGAGAACCAAUGCACUCACAGGUUAAACUUUUUAGUCAUUAUUUACUAUAUAUGUGUAUAAGUCUCAUAUAAUUUUAAUUUUUGGAAUAGGUACAAGAUUUAUAUAGAAGGAUGGGCAUGGUCAGUGAGUGAGAAGUAUAUAAUGGCAUGUGACUCAAUGACAUUAAAUGUGAGACCAACGUACUAUGAUUUUCUUAUACGAGGAAUGGUACCAUUACAACAUUAUUGGCCAAUCAGAGACCUUGGUAAGUGUAGAUCCCUCAAACACGCUGUACAUUGGGGGAAUACUCAUGUGGACC
RNAcentral lists this long non-coding RNA (6753 nucleotides) under Brassica napus (rape). RNAcentral describes it as "long non-coding RNA (BNAP_LNC014926)". The record is from RNAcentral. Lineage: Eukaryota; Viridiplantae; Streptophyta; Magnoliopsida; Brassicales; Brassicaceae.